GAUGAACGCUGGCGGCGUGCCUAAUACAUGCAAGUCGAGCGGACGGACGAGAAGCUUGCUUCUCUGGUGUUAGCGGCGGACGGGUAAGUAACAGGUGGAUAACCCUCCUAUAAGACUUGGAUAACUGCGAGAAACUGGAGCUAAUGCCGGAUAAUAUUUUUAACCGCAUGGUUGAAAAGUGAUUUCGGUGUUGGAUGAGCUCACUGCCUGUCUGCUGGUUGAUUAGGUAAUUGGUUAGGUAGCCGGCUACCAAGGGCACGACGCAUAGCCGGGCUGAGGGGGUGAUGGGCGACACUGGAGGUGAGACGCGGUCCAGACUCCUACGGGAGGCAGCAGUAGGGAAUGGUCGGCGAUGGGGGAAAGCUUGACGGAGGAGCGCCGCGUGGGUGAUGAAGGUCCGCGGAUCGUAAAACGCUGUUAUUAGGGAAGAACACAUGUGUAAGUAACUGAGCACAUCGUGACGGUACCUAGUCAGAAAGCCACGGCUAACUACGUG
This 496-nucleotide ribosomal RNA is filed under the name uncultured bacterium. RNAcentral describes it as "partial 16S ribosomal RNA". It matches the Rfam family "Bacterial small subunit ribosomal RNA", at positions 28 to 507 of the family's 1533-position model. The record is from RNAcentral.